GUGUCAGCCGCCGCGGUAAUACGGAGGGUGCAAGCGUUACUCGGAAUCACUGGGCGUAAAGCGCGCGCAGGCGGCCCGUUAAGUUGGAUGUGAAAUCCUAUGGCUCAACCAUAGAACUGCAUCCAAAACUGAUGGGCUAGAGUCUGGGAGGGGAAGAUGGAAUUAGUGGUGUAGGGGUAAAAUCCGUAGAGAUCACUAGGAAUACCAAAAGCGAAGGCGAUCUUCUGGAACAGUACUGACGCUGAGGCGCGAAAGCGUGGGGAGCAAACAGGAUUAGAUACCCUGGUAGUCCACGCCCUAAACUAUGAAUGUUAGUCGUCGGGGGGCUCGUCCUUUCGGUGAUGCAGCUAACGCAUUAAACAUUCCGCCUGGGGAGUACGGUCGCAAGAUUAAA
RNAcentral lists this ribosomal RNA (394 nucleotides) under uncultured bacterium. RNAcentral's name for it is "bacterial SSU rRNA". It matches the Rfam family "Bacterial small subunit ribosomal RNA", at positions 505 to 898 of the family's 1533-position model. The record is from RNAcentral.